This 466-nucleotide ribosomal RNA is filed under the name uncultured bacterium. Its description in RNAcentral is "partial 16S ribosomal RNA". It matches the Rfam family "Bacterial small subunit ribosomal RNA", at positions 28 to 507 of the family's 1533-position model. The record is from RNAcentral.
GAUGAACGCUGGCGGCGUGCUUAACACAUGCAAGUCGAACGGAAAGGCUCCUGCUUGCAGGGGCACUCGAGUGGCGAACGGGUGAGUAACACGUGGGUGAUCUGCCCUGCACUUCGGGAUAAGCCUGGGAAACUGGGUCUAAUACCGGAUAGGACCAUCGUUUAGUGUCGGUGGUGGAAAGUUUUUUCGGUGUGGGAUGAGCUCGCGGCCUAUCAGCUUGUUGGUGGGGUAAUGGCCUACCAAGGCGUCGACGGGUAGCCGGCCUGAGAGGGUGUACGGCCACAUUGGGACUGAGAUACGGCCCAGACUCCUACGGGAGGCAGCAGUGGGGAAUAUUGCACAAUGGGCGCAAGCCUGAUGCAGCGACGCCGCGUGGGGGAUGACGGCCUUCGGGUUGUAAACUCCUUUCGCCAGGGACGAAGCGAAAGUGACGGUACCUGAAUAAGAAGCACCGGCUAACUACGUG